This is a small nucleolar RNA of Grammomys surdaster, 129 nucleotides long. RefSeq annotates it as small nucleolar RNA SNORA17. The transcript has a single exon. The record is from RefSeq and is a predicted model, not a curated record. Lineage: Eukaryota; Metazoa; Chordata; Mammalia; Rodentia; Muridae.
CCUGCCCCUAGAGGCAUUGCAGGUGUGGCUGCUGUGUCACAUGUGCAUCAGAAGAUAGCAGAGAGGACAGAGGCCAUGUCUACACUCUGUUCUGACCUGUGUGCAUCUGAAUGCUAGUAGCCUAACAUA